Molecule: ribosomal RNA, 253 nt
Filed under: uncultured bacterium
Lineage: Bacteria
Description: partial 16S ribosomal RNA
Rfam family: Bacterial small subunit ribosomal RNA
Source: RNAcentral
GACGAACCGUGCGAACGUUGUUCGGAUUCACUGGGCUUAAAGGGCGCGUAGGCGGGUAAGCAAGUCAGGGGUGAAAGCUUUCGGCUUAACCGGAAAAGAGCCCCUGAUACUGCUAAUCUGGAGUGAGGUAGGGGCAUGUGGAACAUUGGGUGGAGCGGUGAAAUGCGUAGAUAUCCAAUGGAACGCCGGUGGCGAAAGUGGCGUGCUGGACCUCUAUUGACUCUGAGGCGCGAAAGCCAGGGGAGCAAACGGG